Molecule: ribosomal RNA, 283 nt
Filed under: uncultured Dialister sp.
Lineage: Bacteria; Bacillati; Bacillota; Negativicutes; Veillonellales; Veillonellaceae
Description: partial 16S ribosomal RNA
Rfam family: Bacterial small subunit ribosomal RNA
Source: RNAcentral
AGCUUGCUCUUUCCGGAAUUGAGUGGCAAACGGGUGAGUAACACGUAAACAACCUGCCUUCAGGAUGGGGACAACAGACGGAAACGACUGCUAAUACCGAAUAAGUUCCAAGGGCCGCAUGGCCCAUGGAAGAAAAGGUGGCCUCUACCUGUAAGCUAUCGCCUGAAGAGGGGUUUGCGUCUGAUUAGCUGGUUGGCAGGGUAACGGCCUACCAAGGCAACGAUCAGUAGCCGGUCUGAGAGGAUGAACGGCCACAUUGGGACUGAGACACGGCCCAGACUCC